This 406-nucleotide ribosomal RNA is filed under the name uncultured bacterium. RNAcentral's name for it is "partial 16S ribosomal RNA". It matches the Rfam family "Bacterial small subunit ribosomal RNA", at positions 30 to 526 of the family's 1533-position model. The record is from RNAcentral.
AUUGAACGCUGGCGGCAGGCUUAACACAUGCAAGUCGAACGAGUGGCGGACGGGUGAGUAAUGCUUGGGAAUCUGGCUUAUGGAGGGGGAUAACUACUGGAAACUGUAGCUAAUACCGCAUACCAUCGGAUGUGCCCAGUUGGGAUUAGCUAGUUGGUGGGGUAAAGGCUCACCUAGCCGACGAUCUCUAGCUGGUCUGAGAGGAUGAUCAGCCACACUGGGACUGAGACACGGUCCAGACUCCUACGGGAGGCAGCAGUGGGGAAUAUUGCACAAUGGGCGCAAGCCUGAUGCAGCCAUGCCGCGUGUAUGAAGAAGGCCUUCGGGGUGUAAAGUACUUUCGGUGGCGAGGCGUUACCGACAGAAGAAGCACCGGCUAACUCCGUGUCAGCAGCCGCGGUAAUAC